RNAcentral lists this ribosomal RNA (253 nucleotides) under uncultured bacterium. RNAcentral's name for it is "partial 16S ribosomal RNA". It matches the Rfam family "Bacterial small subunit ribosomal RNA", at positions 524 to 776 of the family's 1533-position model. The record is from RNAcentral.
UACGAAGGGGGCUAGCGUUGCUCGGAAUCACUGGGCGUAAAGCGCACGUAGGCGGAUUGUUAAGUCAGGGGUGAAAUCCUGGAGCUCAACUCCAGAACUGCCUUUGAUACUGGCGAUCUCGAGUCCGGAAGAGGUGAGUGGAACUGCGAGUGUAGAGGUGAAAUUCGUAGAUAUUCGCAAGAACACCAGUGGCGAAGGCGGCUCACUGGCCCGGUACUGACGCUGAGGUGCGAAAGCGUGGGGAGCAAACAGG